Small nuclear RNA from Callithrix jacchus (white-tufted-ear marmoset), 106 nucleotides. Lineage: Eukaryota; Metazoa; Chordata; Mammalia; Primates; Cebidae. The record is from Ensembl.
GUGCUCACUUCAGCAGCACAUACAUUAAAUUGGAAUGAUACAGAGAAGAUUAGCAUGACCCCUGCGCAGGGAUGACAUGUAAAUUCAUGAAGCGUUAAAGAAGUAU